AUUAACUGCAGGGGGAGCCUUGAGCUGAGAUUAGUGUUUUUUAACGCUUAACCCUUUGGACCUGAUCUGGUUAGUACCAGUGUAGGAAUUGCAGCCUAUCGAGGAU
Molecule: non-coding RNA, 106 nt
Filed under: Secundilactobacillus collinoides
Lineage: Bacteria; Bacillati; Bacillota; Bacilli; Lactobacillales; Lactobacillaceae
Also listed under: 1 other name
Description: Lactobacillus collinoides TPP sequence
Rfam family: TPP riboswitch aptamer (THI element)
About the family: Vitamin B(1) in its active form thiamin pyrophosphate (TPP) is an essential coenzyme that is synthesised by coupling of pyrimidine and thiazole moieties in bacteria.
Source: RNAcentral